GGAGGUCCGAACCCACGAGCGUUGAAAAGCUCGGGGAUGACUUGUGGGUAGCGGUGAAAUUCCAAUCGAGCCCGGAGAUAGCUGGUUCUCCCCGAAAUAGCUUUAGGGCUAGCCUCAAGGUGAGAGAUACGGAGGUAGAGCACUGAAUGUCCUAGGGGGUAUUGCACCUACCGAAGACUAUCAAACUCCGAAUGCCGUCAUCUUAUACUUGGGAGUCAGACUGUGGGUGAUAAGAUUCAUAGUCGAAAGGGCAACAGCCCAGAUCGUCAGCUAAGGUCCCUAAAUGUAAGUUAAGUGGUAAAGGAUGUGGGAUUGCACAGACAACCAGGAUGUUGGCUUAGAAGCAGCCACUCAUUCAAAGAGUGCGUAAUAGCUCACUGGUCGAGUGAUCCUGCGCCGAAGAUUUCCGGGGCUAAAACUUACUACCGAAGCUACGGCAUCAGUAAUGAUGGGUAGGGGAGCUUCCCAUACGGGUUGAAGCAUGACCGUAAGGACAUGUGGACAGUAUGGGAGUGAGAAUGUUGGCAUGAGUAGCGAGAUGUGGGUGGGAAUCCCACAGGCCGUAAACCCAAGGUUUCCAGGGGAAGGUUCGUCCGCCCUGGGUUAGUCGGGACCUAAGCUGAGGCCGAAAGGCGUAGGUGA
RNAcentral lists this ribosomal RNA (642 nucleotides) under Clostridioides difficile. RNAcentral's name for it is "bacterial LSU rRNA". It matches the Rfam family "Bacterial large subunit ribosomal RNA", at positions 768 to 1418 of the family's 2925-position model. Lineage: Bacteria; Bacillati; Bacillota; Clostridia; Peptostreptococcales; Peptostreptococcaceae. The record is from RNAcentral.